CCUAUUAACCUAAACCACAGCUUUAGAAAGAUAAGGCUGUAGGCAAAUGCAAAUUUUAAUUAAAAUUAACUUACAAGAAUGAGAACCCUCUUUCAGUGGAGGAACAAGCACUGUAAAUGUGGGGGACAGCUGGAAACCACCUGCCAGCAUCUGGAGACCAGGGGGGCCCUGCAGGACUGGGAAGGAAGCCACUAGUCUGGAAGUAAGCUAAAACUUGGGCGCAGACACUUCUGCUGGGAAAGGAGAAUGUAAGGCCUCCAUUGUACUUGCUGCUACUUGAGUUCGCCAAGGACCAUGGACUGGAGUCCACGAUUCAAGGAAAACACAGGCAAUGACACAUACCUUUCCUGUAAGCAGAACAGGAAAUUGGUACGUUGCUCUAAAUGUCCACGAGUGCUGUCUAGAUGAACAAAGGAUAAAUCAUGUAGUGGCAUCUGAUACCACUUGAUGUUUGAAACAAAACAUGACUUAAGGUACUUGUUCUGUACUGCUUUUCGGCUGCGUGUAAUCCACAGGCCGCAUAUCGACCUUCUGUUAUGCACAGAAACAUUAAAAUAUCACCUAAAUUAUGUAACUGUUAGUGAUUUCCUAUAGUCAUGAUAAAAUAAUUUCCUUUACCUGUCAUAGUUAACUAAAGCAGAUAUAAAAAAGACGCACGUAAGUUUGUACUAUGUCACCCAACAAUUUUUAUUGUUUACCUAAUAGAAUAAACACUAUCUUUCAAAAUACA
Molecule: long non-coding RNA, 730 nt
Organism: Suricata suricatta (meerkat)
Lineage: Eukaryota; Metazoa; Chordata; Mammalia; Carnivora; Herpestidae
Exons: 3
Source: RefSeq, a predicted model, not a curated record